RNAcentral lists this ribosomal RNA (253 nucleotides) under uncultured microorganism. Its description in RNAcentral is "partial 16S ribosomal RNA". It matches the Rfam family "Bacterial small subunit ribosomal RNA", at positions 524 to 776 of the family's 1533-position model. The record is from RNAcentral.
UACGUAGGUGGCAAGCGUUGUCCGGAAUUAUUGGGCGUAAAGCGCGCGCAGGUGGUUCCUUAAGUCUGAUGUGAAAGCCCCCGGCUCAACCGGGGAGGGUCAUUGGAAACUGGGGAACUUGAGUGCAGAAGAGGAUAGUGGAAUUCCAAGUGUAGCGGUGAAAUGCGUAGAGAUUUGGAGGAACACCAGUGGCGAAAGCGGCUCUCUGGACUGUAACUGACACUGAGGCUCGAAAGCGUGGGUAGCAAACAGG